GCGUCCCGGCGGUGCCCCGGGCGGGCCGGGGCCCGACACCGGCCUUCUCCGCAAGGGUGCGGCCGCUGGCCGCUGCACUCCGCUUACGUUCUUGGGGCGGCUGAGGGCGGUGGCUCUGCGUGCGGCGAGCUGGGAUCGGCGUGGUUCCUGCGGUGCUUCAGGCCCGGCGGUGCCUCCAGGGGCCUCUGCCGCGCCUUCCCCGGGGGCCGCGGGCGGGCGCUGCGCAUUCCCCGUGGGCCGGCCGGGAGAGGCUUUCCUGGGCAUCGCUCCGCUGGGGCGGGCACGGACACGCUGUUCCGAGCGCAGCCCUCGCCCUGUCAGGGAUUUAGCCUCUGAUGUUCGUAUCCGCAGUUAAAUCUUCCUUGAUGGGUAUGCGUGGUGUGAGGCACAGCGGGUUUGGUUCUGAGCGCUGCUUUGAUGUACUGAGUCUGCCUCGGGAGGGGCGCUUGGCGUGGCGCUCGAGUCUCACCUGAGCAUCUUAGGGAAGGAUGGUCAGGGCUGAAGAGAAUGCAAUGCGCUGGUUCAGGGAAAUAGUGCCAGCUCUAUGCUUAAGGUCCUGUUCUGGAUAAAACUCCUCCAGUUCCGGUAUUCUGUUGUAGGUCGGUGUUUUUCUUCUCCGAUUGCAAAACAUUGGUUGAGGUUAUCAAUGGGCCGAGUGAUCCAGGCUUUUCAGGGGGGGUGGAGAAGGGUGGUUUGUUGGUCCUUUUGAUGUAUGUCAUUUCUCCGGAGAGCUGUGUGAGAUACAAUCUGCUGUGAUUGUCACAUUUGUUAUCAAAUUCCCAGUGGCAGUCGUAGAUUUCACUUUCUUUGCCUUAAGUGUUGGUAAGGCUACAAGAGGUAAUUGCUUAUCCUUUGUUUCCCACCUUUACCACUUUACAGUACCGGUUUGAAAACAAUGUUAAAUUUUAGAUUAAGACAGUGUUUAGAGAGACCGUGCUUAAGCGAGUGCUUGCUUUUUGAUCUGAGUUAUUUUCAUCAAUUAAUUUUCUCUUUUCUUUCUUUGUAAUUUGAACAGAUUAAGUAAAGAGUAUUUUUGUUGGAAUAUGUGACAAUAUAUGAAGAGAUCAGUUGAUAGCUUUUGAUUUGAAAUAGUGGAGCUCUUCAGCAUUCUGCCAUAUUAGGUGUAUGUUUGUACUUAAGUACUGGUGUGAUUCUCUAAAUGGAUUCUGCCAGUCAACAUACAGUAAAUGGUCUGUUGUGGUUAAUACUUCUUUGGAAAUCUCAUGUCAAGUUGGUUUUUUUUAUUUAUUAUUCAUACACUACUCAAACUCCCAACAAAAUAGUUGUUACACUGUGCAGGCAGUCCUUUGUUCCUUAUUACUUUUUAAUUUACGUUUUCUUUUUAUUGGUAGAGUUCAACUGUAUCAGUGUGUAUAUAUAUGUAUAUUCAGACUAUAUUAUAUACAUACAGUAUAUGUAUUAGUUACUAUGGGUGACUGAGGCCAAAGGGAUUUGAGGUGAAAUUUCUUGGACUUGCUCAGUUUCCACUGCUCCAAAGUGCAGUUAUAUGAAUAGAACUGCUUAAACAUGAGGUUUGAUCUUGGCUAGAUCUGCCAGCUAGACACAGUAAUAGAGGUGUGAGAGCUUAGUUAAGAAGUCUCUAUCACCAUUCUGUUGACAGGAAAUUACAGCAGUGAUGAUAGCAACAAUUGUUAUUAUUAGUAUUGAAAUACAUCACCUUGUAAAGCAUCUUUUAGAGAACUAUAAAACUGCAGCAGUUGGAAUGACAUAGUUAAUGUUUAUCACAAUAUUAUGGAAAGGUUAAUUAUCAGAGUAUGUGGCUUUGUUAACUGCCUUUUUUAACAGCUGUGAUUUUGGAGAAUUUCACAAUUUAUAGUUGAAAAUUUUACAGUAAAUUAAAAAAGACUGGAAAUUAAUUUUGCAUUUUUGCACUGCAUGUUGCUCUUUCUGUAAUCACCUCUUCUCUGUAUCUCUUCGUUUUUUCAUACAUCCUAUUCUGAAAAUUUCCUUAAGGGUUAGGGAAGUUGAAAUUAAUGGAAGUUAAUUAUUUCUUUAAAUUAUCUUUUAGGUGGCUUGAGAACCAAUCAGUGAUCCUGGAUAUAAUCUAGAGGUGUAUAUCACAGAUUGAGUGAAAUAACUGGAAUUUUUCUGUUCUUCUUGUUUUACAAAAAUACACCGGAAACUCAAGAAAUCGGGUCUUAAAAAUCUGAGCAAAGCUGGAUCCAAGAGCAUCUUCUCACAACCAACCAAGUUAAGUGAUGAAUAAAACAGAGGUGGUGAUCUGGUGGCAGGCAAAAGAAUGAAUUUUGAUGUCACCUUCUUGUGUCCUUCCCCAUAAAAAUGAGGAGGCAAAUUUUUAUUCUGAAUUAGCCCAUCUAUUUUUGGAUUUCUUCUGUGACAAAUGACUAGGGAUUCUAACAGUUGAACUUCCUCCAUUGCAAACCAUCUUAAUCAUCUGCAGACCAGGUUUGUCCUCUAGAAUGAAUGAGGAAGAGAUAGUAAAGUGAUUAAGACUGGAUUUGGGUCUCAUUACUAAUUGAAUUUUAACUUAAUCAUACUAAGGCUGAAGUAUUAACUCAUUGUAAACAUUGGAGAUUGUUUCUUAGAUACAUGUUUGUGAGUGAGCUAACUAGGAAAAGAACUUCCCUCACAUCUCAUAUUACAUUUGCAGGUUUUUAAGCUGACACCAGAGGAAUUGAGAAAAGGGAAGUUACUCUAAGGAUUUCAACAAAUAAAAUAAACUUUAUGUAUAAUUAAAAAUUAUGAAGGCAAUGAGCAACUUGUUUUUGCUUGGAUGAGUGCUGUGUAGAGAAUGCUUUCCAGUGCAGAGGAAAGGAGGUAGGAAAGAGCGACAGUAGCAAUGUAUUUGCAUAAUAUUGUUUACUUGGGUUAUGCUAUUUUACUAAGCUACUUGGUUUAUCACAAACUCGGGUAUCUUACGAAAUCCAAACCUGAUCAGGAGAACAGCCACAGAAACGAAAAGCAAUUGUAUUUCUCAAAAAUCAUUGUUUAUCAGAUACAGCUAUGGAGCACACUUUGUUUUCCCUUUGCUAUGGCUGCAUUUGACAAAAUUGUUCAGUUCAAAUAGGUUCUUUUUUUUUUUGCAUUAUCUUUCUGUAAAUUCUGCCUUAUGUCUGCUACUCAGGUUUCCUCAGUGUGUCUUGUGAAAAAAGUGGUCAAAAUCCAAUGUAGAUUAGCCACACUGUUUUGGAUUUCUUUGCUGUACAAGUAUGAUAUUUUUAGAACUUUUUGCAUAGCAAUUACUGUUUUGUUUUUUGAAUCCUACCCAUUACCACUGACGUUGUCUUUACCCCUAACUUGGCUCAGUUAGUUAUGCUGUGUGAAUUGACAGACACUCCACUUCUAAACAUGCAGCUGCUUUUGUAAACUAAACUAAUGAUAGCUAAUAACUGGGGAUGCUGAAGAGGCACUCCCAAAUCCUGGAUUUACUUUACUGCUGCUCUCUUGUGCUCGUAAUCAUUUUCAUCUGAUCAUGCAGGGAGGCACUCUGGGAGCUAAACAAAAAAUGGGUAACUUGUUUAUGAAGGGGUUGUUCUGAUGGUAGUUAUCCUGUGGCAGGAACAGCUUCCCACAAAGACCUUUGCAGGGGGAGUUACUAUGCAGAACAUAAUAAAGGUGCCAAACUGUAAACACUAGGAAUUAAAUAAUUGAUACUGAAGAGACAAUGAUGGAAGAGAAAGGGAAUAUUAUUCUCUUGAUUAUGGCUCUGUCUAGUCUACUCUUUUGGAAACAGCAAUAUCAUCAUACAUAAUAGUGUCAAUAACUGUUCCAAGGGUUUGUUCUUGAUAAAAUACUCUCAAAAAUAGUAGAUGAUAGCUUUGCUGUUUGGCAGACCUACAGGUCAGUACAUGGGCAGGCUCUGUGCUUGUGUUGCAGCCUGUUGUAAUUUGGAUGCAGGUUUUUGUUGUCUAUUAUUGGAGCAUAGCUUACAUGUUUCCAUGUACAUCCUAAUAAUGAAGUUUGGUUUUGCAUCUUUGCACUGUCCAGAGGAGUGAGCUCAAUCCUCACCUUCCACCAUGCAACAGUUAUGAGCACAUCCUAUAGAGAGCUCCUUAAAACUGCAAAAUCCUGAAGGUAUCCUUUAAUGAUGUUAAAGGGUUCAAGAUAGUGGAUAAGUAAAGCAGGCAGUAGGUUUCUCUGUCAAUUGCCUAUCUCAGCAAAGUGCUUGGUGUAUCUCUCCAUCAGCAAGUGACAGGAUACACACCUCUUCUUGCAGUAGGUGACCCCAAGUAGUAGUUCCAACAAAUGCUUAAAUGGAAAUGGGGUGAGGGCCUUUGCAUAGCAGCUUUACUAUGAAGACCACACUGUCAAAUGAUCUUCAAGCUCAUCUAUAGAUAACAUCCCAUAGGACUGCUUAGCAGAUGCAGCUUACAGAGGUAUUUCUUAGCAAGCACCCUGAUCUAGUGUGACUUCUGGUGGAGCUCUGAGGAUAAAAGGUCUCUGGACCUUCAUCAGUACCAUAAAAGGCACUGACACAGGUCCCAGUGUUUUUUAAACUUGUGUUUUGGUGAAGACUGUUCGUUUGGAUUGACAUGAGCUGUUCUGCAGGGUCAGACUAAAGGGUCUUAGCAAUUCAUAAACAAAGAACUGCUUUGGCUGUGAGAAUGAAAAAGGUGGUAUGUGCAGGAAGUAAGAGUUACUGAGGCUGUAAGAAACAAAAAAUCCUUGAUUCUAUAGCAGUUGGUGAACAUUAUAUACACCGAUAUUAUUUAAUUUAUUCCCUCUUUUGUCAUAAUACAGCUAAGACUUCCAGAUCAGAGGAGCGAGAAGGAAAAUCCAGACAAUUCUUCCUAACCAGAGAACAAGGAAUAUAUUCAGUAAACAAGUAGGAGUGAAAUGGACCAACACUUUUAUAUAUUUGAAGCAAAAAAUUUGAUCUUCAUUCCAGGAUGGUCAUCCAGGACUUUGAACCAUAUAUCCCACUCAGUCUAGUACGAUAUACCAGUCUUUCAUACAAGAUACCAAUGAUGACUAGGAGAUGGAGCAGUGAUAAUGUGUAUUUUUCAAAUACACAUUAUACAAAUGUGUAUUACACAAAUACAAAAAUUUGCAAAGAUCACCCAGAAGAUGCAGAGUGAUUCUGCACCACCACCCCACGGACUGAAAAUAAACAGCUGAAAUCAUGUGAGCACACUUCUGUAAUAUGUCUAUUGAUAAGAUUACAAUCUUUUCCACAGUGAAUGCUGUUGUGGCUUCUGUGAGGUUUGGGAACAACCUUUCUUUUGUGAACUUGUGAAGUCAUGCCCACGAGUAUUCUACCAGUGCCACAUACCAUGGCUGAUGAAGUGAGAUCUAAAAGCAUCCCCGUGUAGGAUGAGAGGACCACGGUAAUAAUGUUGUAUCUCAUAGAUGAGUGUGAAGGUGUAAAUUGUAUGAUGGAGAAGCCAAACUUGAAAAUUUACUGGUGAUACAUUACCUUAAGGCAUCAUACAGAAGUAUCACAUGCAAGGUUAGGCAGAUUUGUCAUCAUGAUAGGAAGAAGACCCACAUGUGUAUGUUAUGGCAGUCCAAAACCUUUCUUGAAAUACAGGUUGUUGUAGGUUCCGAGGAGUGAGUUCCGAAUCUUUCUGGUCCCUUCAGCGGCCAGCUGUCCGGGCCCAGAGAGGGAUACAAAGUUGCAUCCAAAGUAGGUCAGUACGCCUGCCAGUAUUUACAGCUGCAGUGAGCCUUGAGUUGGCUUUUAGUGAUCUGUGAAACAAAGCUGAUACACUUUAGAAAUAUAGAAAUGUGUCUCAUUAAGUUUGAUUCUAUGAGAAAAUAGAGGAGGAUGCCAAGGCAGAUGAAUAGUGAUUAUGUUUCUUUGCGUGAUCUUUCUUGCAGUGAUUCUGUUGAAAGCUUGACAACUAGUGGAGGUGAAAGCUAGUAGGCCGAAGAUCCUCCUUCUGUGAAGUUUUCCAUGUAGAAUGAGUCAGCACUGGCAGUUUGUUUAACAGUUUGAUGCUGCCAGGUAGGGGUGUGAGGAUUCUGAAGGACUGGGACUGAAGCCCCUUGCACAUGCUGAACUGGUGUGAAAAAAGGUGCUGAGGGGUCUGUUGCCAUCACACUAGGGAUCAGAGGGCUUCUUAAUUUUGGCUUGAAAUUGAACCAUAUGCUAGUAGAAUUGUAUUCUUUUGAGUAACCAUGAGGUGAGGUAGAAAAGAUGAAGGUAACAGAUCUUUGGGGUUAUAGGCACAUGUGCUGAGGACUGGUCAGAUGCCCCAGACAAUACUACAUACUGUUCUAUAUGGGCUAAUGUACGUACACUUAUAAAUGGAGAGGCUGAGCAUCCUGCUCUGGCAGCCUGUCAUAAGGUCAAAGAGGAAUGAUUUACAAGUCUAAGACUCCAAAUACAGAGCCUUUUGUUGAGCGUGCCCUGGUGUUGUGCUGUUACUCUGAAAUACUACAUGAAGGAAUGACAUGAGGUCUGUGUCCUAGCCUGGAUGCUCCAGAGCGAAAACUGCACACACCAGCUUCUUACUGGGUGUAAUUGGAAGAAUCUAGAAGCAUGAGUUUAGAUUAUAGAAAAUUGGUUAAAUGAUGCAAAUACCAAUAAGGAAUACCAUGUUAUCAAAGGGAUGUCCAGGGACUAUGGAAUGCUGUAGCCCACCUGGCAGAAAAAAGCAACUUGCUGUGAAAAAAGGCAGACUUGCUGUGUGUCAGACACAUUAGAAUGUGGAUGCCAUCAAGGUUUCUGUAGAAAACUUGUUUCCACUUAAAAAGUAUUUGUACAGCUGCACAGCAGAUACAUGUGAAUUAUCCCUUAAAAGAUAAACCAAUAUAUUUCCUUAUCAUAAUCUUUAUAGGUUUUUGACAUUAUUUCUAUCCAUUUUUAAUACUCUGCACACUAAUGUACAUGAUACGGUAUGGUACGAUACUUGCUCUUUAAUACAUUUCUAUCACAGAUUGUAUUCCAGUGCAACAACAGUAACUUAUAUCAGCAUGUUGUAAGACUUCUGAGACGGGUGGCAGGAUCACUAAAACAAUUUAACUGGAGAGUAGUUCCUCACAGGGAAGUACACAAAUGACCAGAUGGCCUCCAUAGUUUGUACAAACUUUCUUGUGUUGGAAGUUGAAGGUACUUUGUGUGUCUGAGCCUAAGGAUCUAUUCCUACACUGAGUGGACUGCACGAGUGUUUGCUGCUUUAAUAGCUUGUGUUUUGUUCAGAGAUCAGUGUGCUAAAUGGUCCCUGAUGAGGAAAAAAGAAUUUGGAAAGUACUUUUCAUAUUCUACAAGAUUUUCACAGCCUAGUUGCUUAAGCUCUCUGAACCUUAAUUAAUUUUCUACAAGCAAUAACAGGUGUAUCUAUUUCUGAUUCCCUAGCCAUGUAUUUAUUGUAGGACAGACUGGUUUUUGAGGCAAGGAAACCUUUUACUGCUAGAGAAAACAUAACAAUGAACUGGUAAGUUGUUUUGCAGCAAUUUAGCUGAGUGGAUGUGAAAUACUGAUGGAUGAAAAGAAUCAUACCUACUCUAAAUCACUUGCUUUUUACUUUAUGCAGGACUUGUUCUGGAUGAUCAGCACAGGCAACUGUGUUAGGCUGGGCCAGCUAAAACAUUGUUUUCUAAGUAUGUGGGUGCAGCUGCCUUGCAGAAAUGUACUGUAGUAAAAUCCUUCAGUUCUUGAAUAUGGCUGUAAUGGCUGUCUAAAAAUAAUACCUAACAAAGGGUGUCCUUCGCAGGGAAAGCCAGAAAUAACCUUUUUCUCUGUCACAAGCAGCAGCUUGACCCAGAGACCACGAAAGAGCUGACUUUCAAGCACAUUUUCUACGUUAAGGAUUCUUGAGCUUGGACUUCCCCCCAAAGAGAUAAUAAAUACCAGUCGCUUCAA
Long non-coding RNA from Melospiza georgiana, 7789 nucleotides. RefSeq lists it as uncharacterized. The record is from RefSeq and is a predicted model, not a curated record. NCBI's taxonomy places the organism in Eukaryota, Metazoa, Chordata, Aves, Passeriformes, Passerellidae. The transcript is spliced from 2 exons.